UUUUUCCUUGCAUGCCUCCCAAACAGCUUGUUGGCAUGUAUAGAGGUUCUGAUAAUUGUUAUGGAGACUUUGUAACCCCAAGAUGCCACUCUUUGAUGCAAUUCUGUGACAGUAAGCUUAGGAAAUUUUUUUACUUCUCUAACCAUCCUCCUCACUGUGCGUUGUGGCAAGAUAAACUUGGGACCUCUUCCAGCCUUGUUUGUCACUGUUCCAGUUGUUUUAAACUUCUUAAUGAUUCCUCUAACUGUAAAUACGGGCAAGUUAAGGCGAGUGGCUAUUUUCUUGUAGCCAUUGCCUGACUUAUGAAGGUCGACACACAUCUGCCUUACUUGAAUGGUGUGUUCUAGCGUCUUUGCCAUGAUGACAAAUGGGAAUUGUUAGGGGUGCCAAUAAUGGUGGAACAGACACAUAAAACUUUAUUAUGGAGCUGCACAUGAUCAAAACAGCUUCGGUUAUUCAAUAUAUACCGACAGACUGCUAAUUGCACAGACUAAACAGAUGGACUUAAUAAUAGUAAUGAUCAGUCUUAUAACCACU
Misgurnus anguillicaudatus (oriental weatherfish) is the source of this 537-nucleotide long non-coding RNA. RefSeq lists it as uncharacterized. Lineage: Eukaryota; Metazoa; Chordata; Actinopteri; Cypriniformes; Cobitidae. The record is from RefSeq and is a predicted model, not a curated record.